RNAcentral lists this ribosomal RNA (460 nucleotides) under uncultured bacterium. Its description in RNAcentral is "partial 16S ribosomal RNA". It matches the Rfam family "Bacterial small subunit ribosomal RNA", at positions 338 to 795 of the family's 1533-position model. The record is from RNAcentral.
CCUACGGGUGGCAGCAGUGAGGAAUAUUGGUCAAUGGACGAGAGUCUGAACCAGCCAAGCAGCGUGAAGGAUGACUGCCCUAUGGGUUGUAAACUUCUUUUAUAUGGGAAUAAAAUGUUCCACGUGUGGGAUUCUGUAUGUACCAUAUGAAUAAGGAUCGGCUAACUCCGUGCCAGCAGCCGCGGUAAUACGGAGGAUCCGAGCGUUAUCCGGAUUUAUUGGGUUUAAAGGGAGCGUAGGUGGAUGGUUAAGUCAGUUGUGAAAGUUUGCGGCUCAACCGUAAAAUUGCAGUUGAUACUGGCAGGCUUGAGAGCAGUAGAGGUAGGCGGAAUUCGUGGUGUAGCGGUGAAAUGCUUAGAGAUCACGAAGAACUCCGAUUGCGAAGGCAGCUCACUGGACUGCAACUGACGCUGAGGCUCGAAAGUGUGGGGAUCAAACAGGAUUAGAUACCCGAGUAGUC